This 440-nucleotide ribosomal RNA is filed under the name uncultured bacterium. RNAcentral's name for it is "partial 16S ribosomal RNA". It matches the Rfam family "Bacterial small subunit ribosomal RNA", at positions 338 to 795 of the family's 1533-position model. The record is from RNAcentral.
CCUACGGGAUGCAGCAGUGGGGAAUAUUGGACAAUGGGGGAAACCCUGAUCCAGCGACGCCGCGUGAGUGAAGAAGUAUUUCGGUACGUAAAGCCCUAUCAGCAGGAAAGAAAAUGACGGUACCUGACUAAGAAGCACCGGCUAACUACGUGCCCACAGCCGCGGGAAUAAGUAGGGGGCAAGCGUUAUCCGGAUUUAAUGGGUGUAAAGGGAGCGUAGGUGGCAGCGCAAGGCUGGAGUGAAACGUCGGGGCCCAACCCCGGAACUGCUCUGGAAACUGGGAGGCUGGAGUGGAGGAGAGGUAAGCGGAAUUCCGGGUGUAGCGGUGAAAUGCGUAGAUAUCAGGAGGAACACCGGCGGCGAAGGCGGCUUACUGGACUGUAACUGACGUUGAGGCACGAAGGCGUGGGGAGCAAACAGGAUUAGAGACCCCAGUAGUC